UACGUAGGGGGCAAGCGUUGUCCGGAUUAUUGGGCGUAAAGAGCGUGUAGGCGGCCAUACAGGUCCGUUGUGAAAAGCUGGAGGCUUAACCUCCAGACGUCGAUGGAAACCGUAUGGCUAGAGUCCGGAAGAGGAGAGUGGAAUUCCUGGUGUAGCGGUGAAAUGCGCAGAUAUCAGGAAGAACACCCGUGGCGAAGGCGGCUCUCUGGGA
This 211-nucleotide ribosomal RNA is filed under the name uncultured bacterium. RNAcentral's name for it is "partial 16S ribosomal RNA". It matches the Rfam family "Bacterial small subunit ribosomal RNA", at positions 524 to 734 of the family's 1533-position model. The record is from RNAcentral.